This 574-nucleotide long non-coding RNA is filed under the name Nicotiana tabacum (common tobacco). Its description in RNAcentral is "long non-coding RNA (NTAB_LNC010944)". The record is from RNAcentral. Lineage: Eukaryota; Viridiplantae; Streptophyta; Magnoliopsida; Solanales; Solanaceae.
AACUGAUUAAAUCCUUUUGUCUGCUGCAGGAAAACAAAGGAUUGAUGAUGGCAGCAAGAUGCACCGCCAUGGAAGUCACCAAAAACCGGGGCAGAAAAUUUUCUGCCGAUUGUCGAAAAUUUUCUCGGAAGAACGGGGAAACAAUUUCAAUACAUUUAAGUUCUAGGUCGCCCACCAGUACAAUGCGGGAAUACUUUUUAGUUCUAGGUCACCCACCAGUAUAAUGCGGGAAACUACUUUUAAGUUCUAGGUCACCCACCAGUAUAAUGCGGGAAUACUUUUUAGUUCUAGGUCACCCACCAGUAUAAUGCGGGAAUACAUUUAAGUUCUAGGUCACCCACCAGUAUAAUGCGGGAAUACUUUUAAGUCCUAGGUCGCCCACCAGUACAAUGCGGGAAUACAUUUAAGUUCUAGGUCGCCCACCAGUAUAAUGCGGGAAUAUAUUUAAGUUCUAGGUCACCCACCAGUAUAAUGAGGGAAUACUUUUAAGUUCUAGGUCACCCACCAGUAUAAUGCGGGAAUACUUUUAAGUCCUAGGUCGCCCACCAGUACAAUGCGGGAAUACUUUUAAAGU